This 452-nucleotide ribosomal RNA is filed under the name uncultured bacterium. RNAcentral describes it as "bacterial SSU rRNA". It matches the Rfam family "Bacterial small subunit ribosomal RNA", at positions 29 to 526 of the family's 1533-position model. The record is from RNAcentral.
AACGAACGCUGGCGGCAGGCCUAACACAUGCAAGUCGAACGCUGUAGCAAUACAGAGUGGCAGACGGGUGAGUAACGCGUGGGAACCUACCCUUUGGUUCGGAAUAGCUCAGGGAAACUUGAGGUAAUACCGGAUACGCCCUUCGGGGGAAAGAUUUAUCGCCAAAGGAUGGGCCCGCGUCGGAUUAGCUAGUUGGUGGGGUAACGGCCUACCAAGGCGACGAUCCGUAGCUGGUCUGAGAGGAUGAUCAGCCACACUGGGACUGAGACACGGCCCAGACUCCUACGGGAGGCAGCAGUGGGGAAUAUUGGACAAUGGGGGCAACCCUGAUCCAGCCAUGCCGCGUGAGUGACGAAGGUCUUCGGAUUGUAAAGCUCUUUUGGCGGGGAAGAUAAUGACGGUACCCGCAGAAUAAGCCCCGGCUAACUUCGUGCCAGCCGCCGCCGUAACAC